This 2322-nucleotide long non-coding RNA is filed under the name Salmo salar (Atlantic salmon). Its description in RNAcentral is "lncRNA (ENSSSAG00000096064.1)". The record is from RNAcentral. Lineage: Eukaryota; Metazoa; Chordata; Actinopteri; Salmoniformes; Salmonidae.
GGAGCGACCACAGCAGUGAGAAGAGCUCGUCUCAGCGGCCGGAGCGAGAGAGGAGAGAAGGAGAGAGGACUGGGGAUAGAGGGAGCGACCACAGCAGUGAGAAGAGCUCGUCUCAGCGGCCGGAGCGAGAGAGGAGAGAAGGAGAGAGGACUGGAGAGAGAGGAAGCGACCACAGCAGUGAGAAGAGCUCGUCUCAGCGGCCGGAGCGAGAGAGGAGAGAAGGAGAGAGGACUGGAGAGAGAGGGAGCGACCACAGCAGUGAGAAGAGCUCGUCUCAGCGGCCGGAGCGAGAGAGGAGAGAAGGAGAGAGGACUGGAGAGAGAGGGAGCGACCACAGCAGUGAGAAGAGCUCGUCUUCCUCCUCACACUCUCACUCACGGGAUCGUAAACCUUUAUCUUCUUCCAGGGACCACAAAGCAACUUCUGACCGUAGACCACCGGACCCCAGAGCCAGGGAGCACAGAGACCACCUCCACCACAAACAUGAAGACAACAACGACCAGAUCUCAUCCACCGUUGGCCGUAACACCGACUCUACUGACCGUAGACCACCGGGAGACCACCGGGAGACCACCGGGGAGCUAGGCGGUGCCUCGCCCGUCUCCAAGAGCGACCAACCCCCAUCUGACCCUUCCUCUUCCUCCUCCUCCUCCACUCAGAGAUCUCAGGGAGGGUCUGAGCCCACCAGACCCAGCGAGAGCAGCCCUGGCAGGGACACGACGCAGGAUAUAUACGGCUCCAUGGAGAACCAGCCCGGGAGGGGAAAGGCUGAGGGAGAAGAGCCCAGAGCAGAGAGCUUCUCGGCGGGGAGACAGAGCCAGCAGGCCAGCCUAGGAACCCUAGAGAAGGAGACGAGUGGUGGAAAGCCCCAACAACACCCGGCCUCACUCCUACAGCCCCCAGGACUGACAACAGGGCAGGGGUGCCCCGAGCUGUCAGAGAGAGAGAGAGAAAGAAAGAGAGAGAGUGGCAGAUACAAAAGAUGAGGGAGAAGAUGGAGAAGGAGAGAGAGAAAGGGAAGAAGAAAGAUAAAAAAGAGAAGAAGAAAGAGAAGAAGAAACAGAAGAAAGACAGAAAGCAGAAGAGACUGGAGGCUGAGGAGGGAGAGAUCGCAGGACUGAAACACAAACACAAGAAGAAGAAGAACAAGGACAAUAACAGAGAGAGAGAAGAGGAGGAGGAGAGAAGAGGCGAAGACCAAAUGUCUAGCGUAGCCUUAUGAGACAUUUCGUCGUGAAGCGUUUUUUUCCACACGUUUCAGCCCAAGGCUCGUGGCCCAAACCUUAUUCCCUAACUAGUGCACGACUUUAAGGCUCGUGGCCCAAACCUAGUGCACUAAGAAGGGAAUUGGGCGCCAUUUCGGAGGAAAGAUAUUUGGUUUCCUUCCGAGCCUCCUGUCAGUGAACUGUAAAGGUCUCAAAGAGGCGUCACACAGCCUCUGCAUUCCAAAUACCAUCCUAUUCCCUAUAUAGGGCACUACUUUUGACGAGGGCCCAUAUUCCCUAUAAUAAUAGGGCACUAUGUAGGGAAUGUGGGUGUCAUUUGUGACGGGACCCCGUAGUGAAGACCAUAAGAGGACUCUGCAAGCUUGUUCACUUUAGUUCAACACUUUGUUUGGGGGGUUUUGUUAUUUUUUAUUUUUUUUGCUGAGGAUUUGAAUUAAUUUAAUGAAUUUAAGGCUGAUGUAUAAAAUAUUAAUUUUUUUUAGACUCUGCUCAACAUAGGCUGUUGCUUGGACGAGUCAAUUUACUUGAAUAAUGCUUUGAUUUUUAAUUAUUUUUUUUGUGUUUAAAAAAAAAAUGUGUAAUUGCUAAAACCUUGAUUUGUCCCUGUCCCCCACCGUCCUGUCCCCCACCCCAGGUUAUUUUUGAAGAGUUUCUACGACCUGGGAUGCAUCCCAAAUAGCAACCAGUUCCCGAUGUUGUGGACUAUAUACAAGAAUAGUGAACUAUUAUGGACACACACAAUAUACCAUCUUUCAUAUCAGAUAUGUAUUCUCUAGAGUGAAAACGUGUAGGAGGAGGAGGAGGGAAAAAAGCACUAUCGAGAUGUAAAUGACUGUUACUCUGCUGUAAGCAGACUGAGCAAGAGUGACCUAGAGGUAGUUGUUGGCCUAUGUUUUGCAAAAUUACUUCCCCCCCCCCCCCCCUAAAAUUCACCAGAUUUCCCAGAAAUCCCAGGUUGUAGGAUUCACAGAUUUCCUUCUUGAUUUCAGGAAUCUGUGAUUUUUUAUUUUUUUUUUUAUUUUUGUUGUUGUUGUAAAGUUACCAGAAUUGUUCAGCCCCUUAGUGGUAGUUGUGUCUUAUGAUACCUGAAUUAUAU